AACAGGAUUAGAUACCCUGGUAGUCCACGCCGUAAACGAUGUCGACUUGGAGGUUGUGCCCUUGAGGCGUGGCUUCCGGAGCUAACGCGUUAAGUCGACCGCCUGGGGAGUACGGCCGCAAGGUUAAAACUCAAAUGAAUUGACGGGGGCCCGCACAAGCGGUGGAGCAUGUGGUUUAAUUCGAUGCAACGCGAAGAACCUUACCUACUCUUGACAUCCAGAGAACUUAGCAGAGAUGCUUUGGUGCCUUCGGGAACUCUGAGACAGGUGCUGCAUGGCUGUCGUCAGCUCGUGUUGUGAAAUGUUGGGUUAAGUCCCGCAACGAGCGCAACCCUUAUCCUUUGUUGCCAGCGGUUCGGCCGGGAACUCAAAGGAGACUGCCAGUGAUAAACUGGAGGAAGGUGGGGAUGACGUCAAGUCAUCAUGGCCCUUACGAGUAGGGCUACACACGUGCUACAAUGGCAUAUACAAAGAGAAGCGACCCCGCGAGAGCAAGCGGACCUCAUAAAGUAUGUCGUAGUCCGGAUUGGAGUCUGCAACUCGACUCCAUGAAGUCGGAAUCGCUAGUAAUCGUGGAUCAGAAUGCCACGGUGAAUACGUUCCCGGGCCUUGUACACACCGCCCGUCACACCAUGGGAGUGGGUUGCAAAAGAAGUAGGUAGCUUAACCUUCGGGAGGGCGCUUACCACUUUGUGAUUCAUGACUGGGGUGAAGUCGUAACAAGGUAACC
Molecule: ribosomal RNA, 730 nt
Filed under: uncultured bacterium
Lineage: Bacteria
Description: bacterial SSU rRNA
Rfam family: Bacterial small subunit ribosomal RNA
Source: RNAcentral